GUGGGUGGCAGGCGUUGUCCGGAAUUAUUGGGCGUAAAGCGCGCGCAGGCGGUUCUUUAAGUCUGAUGUGAAAGCCCACGGCUCAACCGUGGAGGGUCAUUGGAAACUGGAGAACUUGAGUACAGAAGAGGAAAGCGGAAUUCCACGUGUAGCGGUGAAAUGCGUAGAGAUGUGGAGGAACACCAGUGGCGAAGGCGGCUUUCUGGUCUGUAACUGACGCUGAGGCGCGAAAGCGUGGGGGAGCAAACAGGAUUAGAUACCCUGGUAGUCCACGCCGUAAACGAUGAGUGCUAAGUGUUAGGGGGUUUCCGCCCCUUAGUGCUGCAGCUAACGCAUUAAGCACUCCGCCCUGGGAGUACGGCCGCAAGGCUG
RNAcentral lists this ribosomal RNA (372 nucleotides) under uncultured organism. Its description in RNAcentral is "partial 16S ribosomal RNA". It matches the Rfam family "Bacterial small subunit ribosomal RNA", at positions 527 to 896 of the family's 1533-position model. The record is from RNAcentral.